RNAcentral lists this ribosomal RNA (756 nucleotides) under uncultured bacterium. Its description in RNAcentral is "bacterial SSU rRNA". It matches the Rfam family "Bacterial small subunit ribosomal RNA", at positions 65 to 812 of the family's 1533-position model. The record is from RNAcentral.
AGCGGUAGCAUGGACUGUAGCAAUACAGUCUGAUGACAAGCGGCGGACGGGUGAGGAACACGUAGGAACCUACCCUCAAGCGGGGGACAACCAAGGGAAACUUUGGCUAAUACCGCAUAAUCUCGAGAGAGAAAAGCUGCCCGCAAGGGUGGCACUUGAGGAGGGGCCUGCGUCCGAUUAGCUAGUUGGCAGGGUAAAAGCCUACCAAGGCGAUGAUCGGUAACUGGUCUGAGAGGACGACCAGUCACACUGGGACUGAGACACGGCCCAGACUCCUACGGGAGGCAGCAGUGGGGAAUAUUGGACAAUGGGGGCAACCCUGAUCCAGCGAUGCCGCGUGAGUGAAGAAGGCCUUCGGGUCGUAAAGCUCUUUAGGUUGGGAAGAAGGACAUAAGGUUAAUACCCUUGUGUUUUGACGGUACCGACAGAAUAAGCACCGGCAAACUCUGUGCCAGCAGCCGCGGUAAUACAGAGGGUGCGAGCGUUAAUCGGAAUUACUGGGUGUAAAGGGCGCGUAGGCGGCAAGAUGUGUGUGAUGUGAAAGCCCCGGGCUCAACCUGGGAAGUGCAUUGCAAACUGUCUGGCUAGAGUAUAUGAGAGGGUGGCGGAAUUUCCGGUGUAGCGGUGAAAUGCGUAGAGAUCGGAAGGAACGUCAAUGGCGAAGGCAGCCACCUGGCAUAAUACUGACGCUGAGGCGCGAAAGCGUGGGGAGCGAACAGGAUUAGAUACCCUGGUAGUCCACGCUGUAAACGAUGA